RNAcentral lists this long non-coding RNA (1451 nucleotides) under Monodelphis domestica (gray short-tailed opossum). Its description in RNAcentral is "lncRNA (ENSMODG00000046535.1)". Lineage: Eukaryota; Metazoa; Chordata; Mammalia; Didelphimorphia; Didelphidae. The record is from RNAcentral.
CUUGUUCUUUGACCUACUCCUUCUUUAAGUCAUUUAGACUUUGAUUUUUAUUCUGUUUCCCCAGUCCCUUAUUAAAUGUAAUUUUUAUUAUAUUAUGAUCUGAAAAGGAUGCAUUUAAUAUUUCUGUUAAAGUUUUUGUAUGCCUACAUAUGGUCAAUUUUGUAACGGUAUCAUGUACCACUGAGAAAAAGGUAUAUACAUUUCUAUUCCUAUUCAGUCCUCUCCAGAUAUUUGUCAGAACUACCUUAUCUAGUUAAUAUCUGUCUGUUUGUUGUCUCUCUUCCAUUCUUAUUUCUAGAUGCUCUUGGAAUGACUUUUUGGUUUAAUGGAGGCUCACCAAACUUUCAAAUUCUUCAAGGGUAGAGCCUGGCAGAUGACUCAGUGGAUUGAGGACCUGGAGAUGGGAAGUCCUGCAUUCAAAUUUGACCUCAGACACUUUCUAGCUGUGUGACCCUGGGAAAGCCACUUAACUCCCAUUGCCCAGCCCUUACCAUUUUUCUGCCUUGGAACUGAUGCUUAGUACCAAUUCUAAAACAGAAGGUAAGAGUUUAAAAAAAUAUAUUUUUUUCAAAGCUUAGAUCACAUAUCAAUUCCUACUAAAGACUUUCCUUAUCUACUUAGCUGUGCGUGUUCUUUCUUUCUCCUCAUAUUUUUGUAUAUUGCUUAUCUGAGUACAUGGUGCAUCCCUCGGUAGAAGUGAAUUUCUUAAGGUCAUAAUUGUUUUGUUCUAUGUUUUGUCUUCAUGUCAUUGACAGAAGAGUGCCUUAUACAGAGUACAUAUUUUUUAAAAUAUUGUCAAAUUAAACUUUAGUAUGUAGCAUUAAUCAUUGAAAAAACUGGAAAGGGAGAUAACCAGAUCAGAAAGGAUUUAAAUCCUGGGCUAAAGUUUGAACUCCAUCUAGCUCAAUGGUGUCAAACUCAAAUAGAAAUGAGGACUACUAAUUCAUACCCAAGGAUCCAUAUGGGUUUCAAAUAGAUUAAAUUCUAAAAUGUUAUGUUUGUGGUUGUUCAGGUAUUUGUUUAAGUCAUGUCGAAUUCUUCAUGACCUCAUUUAGGGUUUUCUUGGUAAAGAUACUCAAGUGAUUUAACUUUCCUUUUCCAGCUCAUUUUACAGAUGAGGAAACUGAGGCAAGUAGGGUUAAGUGACUUAUCCAAGGUCACACAGUUAGUCAUAUUGGAGAUCAGAUUUUAACUCGGGGAGAUGAGUCUUCCCAACUUCAGGCCUAGUACUCUAUCCAUUGUAGCACUUAGCCAUCCUAAAAUGUAAUAUUAUCUAAGUUUAUUUUGUUAAACAUUUCUCGAUUACAUUUUAAUCUAGUGCCAAGUGUUGGCGUAGGGACCAACAGACAUGCUACCUCUGACACCAUUUUAAUAACAACACUAUUAUCUAAAUUCUAGAUAAUAGAUAGCUAUAACAUUGUCUCUACAUUCAGUUGUCUACAUUUUUAAUG